Molecule: non-coding RNA, 774 nt
Filed under: Pongo abelii (Sumatran orangutan)
Lineage: Eukaryota; Metazoa; Chordata; Mammalia; Primates; Hominidae
Source: RNAcentral
GGGGGAGAAUGGGCAUCCCACCCCAGCACUUUCUAGGAAGAAGGGCAACAUUUUGAAGGGCUGGAAGUAGAGAAAGAAGGUUGCGGGUAGAAGACUCCAUACUUUCUGUGACGCCUAUUCCUUAGCUUGUGAUGAAUGUUUUCUCAGUAUCCUAUGCUGAAAACAGAACAACAGAAGUUUCAACAUUCUGCCAACACAGUAACUCCUGGGAGAUUGGCACAGAAGAAGGCACAAGGAGAGCUUUUAUAUAACCAAAGAUAUUUUUGGACCAUGAAUUCGGAAAUUCUCGGAGCCACCCAUCAAUGCCUGAGCUUCAGUGAGUCCAUAUCCCAUGUCACCUACGGCAAAGGAGAAUCUGAGACUUCUGAAGAGUUUCUUGCUUCUUUCCUGUGGGGCAGUGACUCCACUUCCCAGCAGUAAUGGAAUAUCCUGAAUUAGCUACAUUAAUGUUAGAACCAUUUGGACCUCACCCAGGACUUCAACUACAUUGUGCUAAAGUUACAGAAUCCAAAUUUGGCAACUGCCUGCAUCUGAACAACAGAAGUUUCAACAUUCUGCCAACAGAGUAACUCCUGGACGACUGGCACAGAAGAAGGCACAAGGCAAAUACCCAUCUCUGUACACCCUGUGCUACUGUGUCAUGUGCUGCUCCAGGCAACUCCAAUGGAUUGGCCACCCUGGCCAAUGUGUUCUAGUAUGUUAGGUUUAUGUUCCCCUGCUUUCUACAAUCCUGUUCAAAGAGUUGCUGACUUAACCACAGAGAGAAUUCCAGAA